AAUGAACGCUGGCGGCGUGCUUUACACAUGCAAGUCGAGCGAGGCGGGUAGCAAUACCCAGUCGAGCGGCGAACGGGUGAGUAACGCGUGGAUAACCUGCCCAGAGGUGGGGGAUAACCCGGGGAACUCGGGCUAAUACCGCAUAUGACCGUGAGGUCAAAGGGGGCUCGCAAGAGCUCUCGCCAUUGGAGGGGUCCGCGUACGAUUAGCUAGUUGGUAGGGUAAUGGCCUACCAAGGCGACGAUCGUUAGCCGGCCUGAGAGGGUGAUCGGCCACACUGGAACUGAGACACGGUCCAGACUCCUACGGGAGGCAGCAGUGGGGAAUUUUGCGCAAUGGGCUAACGCCUGACGCAGCAACGCCGCGUGGAGGAUGAAGGUCUUUGGAUUGUAAACUCCUGUCAG
This 404-nucleotide ribosomal RNA is filed under the name uncultured bacterium. RNAcentral describes it as "bacterial SSU rRNA". It matches the Rfam family "Bacterial small subunit ribosomal RNA", at positions 29 to 439 of the family's 1533-position model. The record is from RNAcentral.